Molecule: long non-coding RNA, 645 nt
Organism: Schistocerca piceifrons (Central American locust)
Lineage: Eukaryota; Metazoa; Arthropoda; Insecta; Orthoptera; Acrididae
Exons: 2
Source: RefSeq, a predicted model, not a curated record
GAAGAAAGUAUGUAUUUGACAAAAACAGCAAAUAGUUGCUGGUAUUAAAACAGCUUUCUAAAUGGCUGCAUUAGCCUUCUGAUACUUUCUUUUCUUCCAUUUUUUUCUCUCUUGCAGUAGCCUGUUGACUGUUUACAUUGUGGAAGCUUAACACUGUCAUCAUUGUUAUAACAACAAAGACAAAACUAAAAGUUACAUAUGAAAACCAGAUCUUAUGUAGUUUCUAUUAUGAUCUGGCUGAUCCAUCUGAAUACAAUUCCUACCUUAAACCUGCAGUUUGAGAAAUUUGCACUAUGAAACCGAGACUGCUAUAAUCACUCUUUCUAUAAAUCUACAUUAUGGGUGCAUAUAUAAACUUCAUGAUAGUUUACAGUUUUGUAGAGUGGGUGUGAUUCCAUACUUUUUUUAAUUUAUUAUUAUUGACUGAAAGCAGCAUUCAGUUCUGCUCGGCUGGAAGACACCUUUGCAGAAAAGAGCAACUGCAUUAGUAACUGUGAUUCCUGACAUGUUCAAGAUUAAAACUGAACUUGUUAAGAUUGUAAUGAAACAGUUUUUAUUGCAUUCUUGCAUUUCAUGAAAGAAAACCAUUGUUGUCAUCUUCACUGUUACUCUGUUACUUUAAAUAAAAUGUCUUGAGUCACCAUA